GACGAACGCUGGCGGCGCGCCUAACACAUGCAAGUCGAACGGAAAGGCCUGCUUUCCCUUGUGGAUUGCGGGUACUCGAGUGGCGAACGGGUGAGUAACACGUGAGUGAUCUGCCCCCAACUUGGGUAUAAGCCUGGGAAACUGGGUCUAAUUCCCGAUAGGACUGCAGGGUGGUGCCUGUGGUGGAAAACGAUUUUCUAGUGGUUGGGGAUGAGCUCGCGGCCUAUCAGCUUGUUGGUGGGGUAAUGGCCUACCAAGGCGGCGACGGGUAGCCGGCCUGAGAGGGUGGACGGCCACAUUGAGACUGAGAUACGGCCCAGACUCCUACGGGAGGCAGCAGUGGGGAAUAUUGCACGAUGGGCGGAAGCCUGAUGCAGCGACGCCGCGUGGGGGAUGACGGCCUUCGUGUUGUAAGCUCCUUUCGACCUCGAGGAAGCCACCUGGUUGGGAGGGUGGUGACGGUAGUGGUAGAAGAAGCACCGGCUAACUACGUG
RNAcentral lists this ribosomal RNA (494 nucleotides) under uncultured bacterium. Its description in RNAcentral is "partial 16S ribosomal RNA". It matches the Rfam family "Bacterial small subunit ribosomal RNA", at positions 28 to 507 of the family's 1533-position model. The record is from RNAcentral.